GGGUGAGGAGGCCGCCGGAGUCCCUAGACUGCGAGCGCGCGCGUCACCUCCCCCGCCGCGUCACGGCUCCCAGGCCCGCCCUCCUCUGGUCCCUCCUCCCGCCUCCGUUUCCCCCUCCUCUCACCCUCCCCCUCCGACAGAGCGGUGACUUAAGCAACGGAGCGCGGUGAAGCCCAUUUUUCUCCUUCCUCGCAGCCGCGCCGGGCAGACCGCGGCGCGCGGCCCCUACACUCUGGCCCGAGAUGAAUGCUGCGGCAGAAGCCGAGUUCAACAUCCUCCUGGCCACCGACUCGUACAAGGUUACUCACUAUAAACAAUACCCACCCAACACAAGCAAAGUUUAUUCCUACUUUGAAUGCCGUGAAAAGAAGACAGAAAACUCCAAAAUAAGGAAGGUGAAAUAUGAGGAAACAGUAUUUUAUGGGUUGCAGUACAUUCUUAAUAAGUACUUAAAAGGUCUUCAUUGCUGCACCCGGGCUUUCUCUAGUUGCGGUAAAGUAGUGACCAAAGAGAAGAUCCAGGAAGCCAAAGAGGUGUACAAAGAGCAUUUCCAAGACGAUGUCUUUAAUGAAAAGGGAUGGAACUACAUUCUUGAGAAAUAUGAUGGGCAUCUUCCAAUAGAAGUAAAAGCUGUUCCUGAGGGCUCUGUCAUUCCCAGAGGAAAUGUUCUCUUCACAGUGGAAAACACAGAUCCAGAGUGUUACUGGCUUACAAAUUGGAUUGAGACUAUUCUUGUUCAGUCCUGGUAUCCAAUCACAGUGGCCACAAAUUCUAGAGAGCAGAAGAAAAUACUGGCCAAAUAUUUGUUAGAAACGUCUGGUAACUUAGAUGGUCUGGAGUACAAGUUACAUGAUUUUGGCUACAGAGGAGUCUCUUCCCAAGAGACUGCUGGCAUAGGAGCAUCUGCUCAUUUGGUUAACUUCAAAGGAACAGAUACAGUAGCAGGAAUUGCUUUAAUUAAAAAAUACUACGGAACGAAAGAUCCUGUUCCAGGCUAUUCUGUUCCAGCGGCAGAACACAGUACCAUAACAGCUUGGGGGAAGGACCAUGAAAAAGAUGCUUUUGAACAUAUAGUAACACAGUUUUCAUCAGUGCCUGUAUCUGUGGUCAGCGAUAGCUAUGACAUUUAUAAUGCGUGUGAGAAAAUCUGGGGUGAAGAUCUAAGACAUUUAAUAGUAUCAAGAAGUACAGAGGCACCACUAAUAAUCAGACCUGAUUCUGGAAAUCCUCUUGACACUGUAUUAAAGGUUUUGGAUAUUUUAGGUAAGAAGUUCCCUGUUACUGAGAACUCAAAGGGCUACAAGUUGCUGCCACCUUAUCUUAGAGUUAUUCAAGGGGAUGGAGUAGAUAUUAAUACCUUACAAGAGAUUGUGGAAGGCAUGAAGCAAAAAAAAUGGAGUAUAGAAAAUGUUUCCUUCGGUUCUGGUGGAGCUUUGCUACAGAAGUUAACAAGAGAUCUCCUGAAUUGUUCCUUUAAAUGUAGUUAUGUUGUAACCAAUGGCCUUGGGAUUAAUGUCUUCAAGGACCCGGUUGCUGAUCCCAACAAAAGGUCCAAAAAGGGCCGAUUAUCUUUGCAUAGGACACCAGCAGGGAAUUUUGUUACACUUGAGGAAGGAAAAGGAGACCUUGAAGAAUAUGGUCAUGAUCUUCUCCAUACUGUCUUCAAGAAUGGGAAGGUGACAAAAAGCUAUUCAUUUGAUGAAGUAAGAAAAAAUGCACAGCUGAAUAUCGAACUGGAAGCAACACCUCAUUAGGCUUUGUUUUAUGCCUGGGUAUUCUUCCAGUUCAAAGAAUUAGAGCAUGAAAGAGGGAGAAACAUCUAGGAUGCCUCUUACUUUCUGCCUUGUGCACUCUAUGGCAGUGCCUUUUACUAAGGACACUGGAGGAAGAUCAGAUUUGGGGGCAAAGAGCACAAUUCCUCAGGUACUGCUUUAUCUCUGAGAAGGACCCAGGAAAAAGGGAGAAGUGGAAGACCAGAGAGUCAAAGGAAUCAGCAUGAGUGGCUGAAAAGACCACCAGAUGCUCUCUUAGACACUAGAGCGACAAGAAGCCCAGGAUGGCUGCAAACUCACCCUGCAAACCCCAAGGAUGAAAUAACGCUCAGUGGUUCCGUGGAAAGGACCCAACUGGCCAUCAGUGCUACCAAGUGGGAGUCUCUGAGCCACAUCCACAAGGGAGGGCCCAUUCAGUUCUGUUGCAGUCCCAUGAGGGAAGGUGCCUGUUCAGAGUCCCGAGCCAGACGAAGGAGCAAUCAAUGUGAUUCUCUGCAAAAUGGCCUGGCUUGGAUCCUGGCUUCAUCUCUGCCUCACCAAUCCCCAGAGUGAGCAAGGAACGAGGAGAAGAUUCACAAACUGCCUAAUUCAAAUCUGAAUCCGUUAGUGACUCUGUUUUGCUCUACUUUGGGGUCACUGGGGUGAGACUCAGAGCACCGCCCAGUGCUAGGGCUGGAGGAAGAGAUGGGGCUCAUCAGGUCUGUGCCGCCCUUGAUUCACAGGAUCCUAGUUCCCCAACCAGGACCACUGCAGUGAAAGCACCAAGUGCUAACCACUGGACCACCAGGGGAUUCCAAAUAAUGGAAGCAUGUAGGAGCUAUGAAGAUGUUAAAAAUGGCCUUGCCCUUUGGAAUAUAGAUGCUACAAGCAGAACAUAGAGAUGAAAGUCAAGAUAAUGCCAAGAUCUGGGGGCAAAGAAAGGAAAGUGGCCCACAGACCUAUGCGUCGCUCUAUGACUCAUGGUCCAGUUUGAAGUACUCACUGCCUCUCGGGGUUUCAUCCUCAUUACCAGCUCAAAUGUCCUCUCUCCACUUUCUCCUUUCCCCUUUUUAUUCUCACUCUCUCUGCUAGAGGCCUUCCUUGUCUGCAGGAAAGCAUGGCAAGGAGAAGAAUCUAUGGUUUAAGGGGAGGAAACACAUUUUGUGCUAGUCUCUCUCCUUUCCAUGAAAGGCUCUUUCAUGAUGAUCCCAACAUUGAGAGUUUCCUAUGUUCAUUACCCUUUCAGGCCCUUGUGACAAUUCCCCAAAUCUCUACAAAUAAAUGAGCUGAUUCACUUCAAAAAUCCUUUGUCCCCACAAAUACUUAUUCAUGGGAAGAGGCUCUGAGUUUAGUCUGUUCCUCCCAGACAAUUUUGUUUAUUGAUUACUUUAUUGUGCUGAUUCGACAUUAGUAAGCAUUUGGGCCUCUGACUUAUACUUUAUGCAACUUUGAAAGUCUAAUGAUUGGUACAGAGAACUCGAGGCUCUUGCAUUGUGGGUUCCCAUCACCAUGCUUACCCGAACCUGGACCAGCUGCCUCCCCUUCUCCCUCACCCCAUGUGGGGUGCCCAUGAGAGUGCAGGGAUCAAGGGGCACAGGGCCAAGAGGCUCUCAUCUGCCCAGGACACCCUCCAGGACCUGGUGGGGGCAGCCUGAGGCUGAGCGAGCCAGGCCAGAAGAAGAGGAACAGGGUAGAGGCCUAGUCCUGGUCCUUGAGAAACUAAAAUCUUGUAGGCAGGAGCAUUCAACAAGAAAACCUACACCUGCUAUCAGUAAGUAGGUGAGCUCCUUUAAAAAAAAAUACGAGUCUGCAAGUGUGAAGGCAAUGAUUAGUGGAAAGUGGGGCAUCAAGAAGGAAACUACACACACACACACACACACACACACACACACACACACACACACACACACACACACCCCAUUCCAAUCCCACAACUCAAAGAUAACUGCUGUAAAUAUUUCUUUAAUGUUGAAUCAUUAUGUUGUAC
This is an RNA transcript of Physeter macrocephalus (sperm whale), 3738 nucleotides long. It is a transcript of the gene named nicotinamide phosphoribosyltransferase, with no coding region annotated. The record is from RefSeq and is a predicted model, not a curated record. The transcript has 19 exons. NCBI's taxonomy places the organism in Eukaryota, Metazoa, Chordata, Mammalia, Artiodactyla, Physeteridae.